Long non-coding RNA from Pecten maximus, 745 nucleotides. RefSeq lists it as uncharacterized. NCBI's taxonomy places the organism in Eukaryota, Metazoa, Mollusca, Bivalvia, Pectinida, Pectinidae. The transcript is spliced from 2 exons. The record is from RefSeq and is a predicted model, not a curated record.
AAGCGGUAAGCAGCAGGAUGUCAACCCCUUCAGCUAGCUUAAUGGUCAGUUUAAAGUACAGGGAUUUCCUUUCAUUACAAGGGGAUGAUUUUGACGACAUUGUGUUAUCUCAAGCAUUCAAGGAUAUAGAAAACGAAGUGAAAGUUUUUGAUGGGAUUUCCGACAUGUCGCUGACACCUGUCGGGAGUUAACGGGAAGGGGAUGCAAAACAUAUUUAGGAGGACUGGAAUACACCAAAUUACCAGCAAGAACAGACAAUAUUACAACCAAGAAGGUGACCGAUGUAUUCCGGAGUACUUUGAUAUGUACAAUGAUGUAUAUACAGGAGACUUCUCGGAGGAACCCCCAUUUGUUAUGGAAGUCAGGUCGUCGGUGUAAACAAACCAAAACAACAUGUGAAAGUGAAAGGAAAUUACACACAACUUACACUAUUGUACAAAUGCGGCGAACUGGACAACUGUUACGCGUUAUGUUAAAUUUGUGAACAGGGAAUCGUAUACAUAAUAUUUGUAACCAAACAUGUUUUUUUUCAAGUUUUAAUAACACCUAUGUACUACAGACCCUAUUCGGCAUUGAUACAAAAACAUCGAGAUCGCUGUAAACACUUGCGCUUGACCAGAAAAAAAAAAUCAAACGUUACAAUGUUUAUUUUACUCACCUGUAUGUAAUUGGGUCUUAAAACGACCAACAGCCACAUAAUUAUUUUAAUACCAUGAUUAAUAAAAAAAAAAAAAAUGUACGGUUA